AGUACGCCAUUCAUCAAUAUAUAUUGAUUGGUCAAGCGAUAGAUUAGGAAUUUCACGCUUUUGAAGAGCUUUCAGAAUUUCUUGAGUCUCUCCGAGAAGGUGAGUUGUUUCCUUUAUAAUUUUUUCCCGUUCUUCUAUGGCGCUAUUGUUGCAUUUCUUGAGUAUAGCAUGAGGUAAAUUGGUCAGGCAUGCAGCAAAUAUAUCUGCAACAAUAACUGAAAAUCUCUCAAAUACUUGAGUAUCUGAUGCUGAAUGAUAGCUUUCCUCAUGGACCAAUAGCAAACUGUUGCUUAUUUUGUACAUUGAAUUGGCAAUUAUGAUAUUUUCAGGCAAGUCAACUGAGCUUUCCAUAGCAUUUCCAUUCAUACUACUAGUAAAUUUCUUCAAAAUUUCUUCACUUCUAUUUGCAAGAUUUUGAAGAGUUUCUUUAGAGGAUUUGGAUACCCUGGCAAUUUUUUGGAGAUCCAUGUCUAACCACUUGCGCCUCAAUUCAACUAAAACCCAUGCAAAAUCUGCAGCUCUCGUGCUGCUCACCAAUUUUUUAUGAACAUCCAGACUUUUCUCCGUUAGGCGCACAUACUUAAAACCUUCAAUGACACCUCUCAACAACUGAUUCCUCUUCUCAUUUUGAACAUUGGGAAGAGCAAUCAUGAUGCUAGUUAGCGUUGUCACAGCUAGACUCCAGCAAUUAAGAGGUUCUGCGCAAAUAAUUGGAGAGACUUGAACACUUUCAAAUUUUGAUACACCCUCGAAGCUGGUGGAAUUGUCCAUAAGCUUCAUUAGAUAUCUAGGCUGAUUAUUUGAGUCCAUAUUUAUGGAUGAAUUAAUAGAACUGAUAAUGGACAUCAGGUAUCCAUCAUGUAUUGGCUCACUUUCUAGAUGUAAAACAAAAUUUCUAAGAUCUUGCUCAUAACCAACCGUGUGUUCUGCUUCAUUGAAAUUGGCCGAGGCCUCAGAUUGCCUUAAGAAAAAAAAUUUUAUCAUCAACAAGCAUCUAAUGAUUUUCAUCCUUACGGUAUUAAAACAGAGUAUGAUGGUAAAUGGGAUCAUAAUUUCCAUGGUACUGAUAACUGGAUUCGUGGCCAUUAAGUAGAGAAUUCCACCAAUUGAGAUGGGAACAAGCAAUUUAUUCACGAUCACAGUCACUAUCUGACUUCCAAUACAAAUGUUGAUGAGUAGAUUUCUGAUGUGAUAAAUAAUUUUUCUAUGUGCAUGGUAUCGAACAUGUAAUGGUAGGAGUCUCCUUUUCCACUCUGCCAAUCUUUUGAUCCCGUAAUUCUUUAUUUCAAAGGAAAUGCUAGAAAUGGUAUAUUUUCCAAUAUUCCGUGCAGUGUGAAAUAAAGCUACUAAAAGUCUUCCCAAAGACAUGAUAGUGCAAAGAAUCGAUCCUACAUAUUGAGUCCAAUAAACAAAAUAUACUGACCAUUUAUAAUCAGAAGCAGCAUUUGGCAUAUAGGGACUGUAAGACACACCUCCGUUAAAAGUAUAACUUAUGGUGCAGAUCAUGAAUAAAACAACGCUGGCCUCAGAUCGUGCCAACACAAACUGAGGGUUAGCUGUUUCUGUCAUCACCCAGUACUUCUUCACGCACAACUUUAACUUGUCAAAGUCCAUUAUUUGGUCUCCUUGUGGUUCCGCUGCCAAAAUUCUUGUUUGCAAUUCUUUGUACUUACUUUCCAAAUACCUUUUACUUGUAAAUACCGUUAAAGCAGAAGAACUCAAUACAAUGAACGCGUAAACAUUCAUGCAGACAAUCACCACUUGGAAAACAUCUUCAAUCACGCCUGUGAAUGCUUGGAUGAUAACAUUUACUGUAAGCGUCACUAUAAGGAUACCCAAUGCUGUCAAGUUCACUAUUAUAUCUCUAUCACUCAUGGAUCCUAGAGAAGGCAUGAAAUGAGUGGUUGAAACACACAAGAAAACAGUGCUACUAAUUUUAGCGCCUUGAUCAUACACACCUUCCAUCGGGGUAGUUAGAUCCAUUGACAACUUCACUGCGACGGCUAACACAGUCAAGGAAGCGGCGUUGAGAGAAGAAAAUCUGCAAGGGAACCAUAACUUUCUAUGGCGGACAGAGAUCACUGCAUCAAUGAAUAGUGAAACAUCCAUAUUAGAGACGCUACAGCAGCGUAUAGGCCUAUCCAUGGCAUUGGUGCUUUAGAGUCCAUCAUUUUGUUCAAUUAUUCAGCUCUCUUCCCACGGCUGCUUUACUUUUGAUUUAAGAUGAGGAUAUGCUCGAGUGGUGGAAAUUUCUUUGUUNGGAUUCAAGAGUAGUGAAAAUUUCCAGGGCAACUUCAACUUUUAUUUUCAACGCUUUGAUGCAUCCAUUAAAGAAAAGUAUAUCCAAUAAUAAAACCUUGCAAUGUGUCAUCUCAAGGAUUAUUUUGAAUCAUUCAAUUUAUUAAAGGGUAUAGAAAAUAAUAUAUGUUGCGAAUUUCGACUACAUCAUCAUUCAUAUCUUAUUAAAAUUAUUCUUAAUAUUGUUACAAUUUGGAAUCUCUAACUGAUUUGUGCCUACUUCAGAUUAAUAAAUCAAUGGCUGAGAUUUAGCCUUGAAUGUUUAAGUUGAGGAAAUAAAGUCAACCUUCAAAUUUCAUCAAACACAGUUUCUACACGAACAAUGAAUUUGAUGCUUUUCAUACUAAUUCUGUUCAUUAAACUAAACUGGCCAGAAGCUGUCAAAACCAAUAUAAUAAUAUAGAGACAGAUUAGAGCCUUUUAACUCUGAACAUUUGUAAGCAUAUUGCACACUUUUUAAAACCGGUAUUUAUAAAACCCAAGAUUUGGAAGCAAUAAGCAUAUUAUAAAGUUUUCAAAAUCCAACAUUAAUUGCUAAAAUUCUUGAUUUGGAUCUUCAAAUGUAUCUCCAUUUACAACGAAAUGUUGUGAAUAACAGAUUUAGUUCUUCAUUUUAUUUAUCAUGUUGUCGAAGUACUUUUAUUUCGAUCCCCCAGUUGAAUCCAUUAUAUUCCAGUUUUUCUUCUUAGGAAUACCUCUUAGCAAGUUAGUAAAUAGUUUGUUGUAGUUUGACCCAAAUUCUAGUGAGUGUUGGAGUUGUAUUUAAAGUGGUCUUGGAUAAAUAAAAAUUAUGGACUGGGAAAAUCGUUGUUGCAUUUUCGCUAGCUGCAUGCUCGAGCGAAAUUGUCAAAUUUGGAACAAAGAAUUUUCGACUACUUCUUGCCCCCUAUCGCUCGACACUGCUCGAGCGAAGAUGCUUCCUGACUUUUCGCUUUGGAAUGCGUUUUGGACUUCAGAUCAUCUACAACUUGAUUUCUAGGGUUUUUUUAUAUAUAUAAUAGUGUGUGUUGUUCAUACAACAGAAUAUAAAACAUUUCGAGAGAUUUAGAUCUUAGUUGAGAGUAUUGAGAUCUUGUAAACAUAAUUGUUAUUGAUUAUAAUGGAUCUCUUCUCCUCUGUCCGUGGUUUUUUCCAGUCUUAGAUUUCCAUCUAAAUCUUCGUAUUCUUUAUUUUGUUCUUGUUUACUUCAUUAUUAUCAUAACCUUUCGGUCAAUUAACAACAUAGUUGCAAUCUAAAUUAGAUUUGUAAAGCUUUAUUCUCGUUGUUUUUGAUUGCACAUAGUAAAAAGUCAGCUCCUUUUCUAUUCCAGUUUAACCUUUGCGACUGCACUUUGGAUUUUAAGAUGGGGAUGCUCGAGGUCAUAGGAAAUUUCUUUGUUAUUUCAUUGCAACUUCAGCUUGUAUUUUCUACCCCUUGAUGUAUCCAUUGAAGAAAAAUAUAUCCCAUAACGCGUUGAUGUAUCCAUAAAGAAAAACAUAUCCAAUAAAUUAUUGGGUGAGGUUUGGAGUGGGAAUUCUUUUGGAGUAAUAAGAGGAAAUACCCCAGGCCCUCAGCCUUGAAUUUUUAGUUAUAUCCUGCUUAAUAAGAAUAAGUUAUCAUUCACAUGUUAAUGCUCAUAAUAUUAUAUUAAUUGUUGAUUGAUUUAAAUUUUAUAAACUAUUUAAGCUAAGCCUAAAAGGGACAAAGUUAGUAUAUGAAAUGAAUUAUGUUUUGAAAAACAUAACUUGUCACACAAAUACCCUCUUAGACUGUGCCUUUGAUACAUAGAGGAUGUUUGGUGGGGAUGAAAAUUAGAUUUUUAGUAGAUUGUGAUAGAAGUUUUUAAAAUAUGUGGUUUAAAAGUUGCGAUACCCAUAAAAGAUGUAUUUAAUAUUUAUUGUUUGACUUUAACUUAGAUUCGAAACCAAACAUGGGCAUAAUACCUCUAAUAAAGUAAACUCUUUUAUUUAUUGAACAUAGAAAUUCUAGGAUAUGAAAAACCAUUAUCUACAUUGUUUAAAUUGAAAUUUCAACGAGAGUUACACAUUUUCAUCUAAAAUAACAUUUCAUUAAUGACCGUUAAAAAUUGAAUCCCAAAUAAACCACUUCAAUUGAGAGAUACAUUUUCAACUGAUUUUCAAUGAUUUGCUUGGACUAAUUAAAACCUAAAUUUAUUAAGCAUAUUAUAAACUUUUCAAUAUCCGAAGGAAUUUGGGUUUGACGUUGUGGUCUAAAUAUGAAAAUUUAAUUAAUUUACGAAAAACAUAACGCCGCUAAAAUCUCAUCCCAAGUUAUGACAUUGAUUAAGGUAUCAUAUGAAAUUAUACUCAUUCAUCUAUUGAAAUUUUCGAGUUUUCGUAUCUGAAGAUCAUUGUCUAACAUAUUUACAUAGUUAAUAUCUUAAUGAUAGUACUAAUCUUCGUUAAAAUAACAUUUCAUGAUUGUUCAAAAAAUGAUGUGACAGUAAAUUAUCGAUGGCAACAUCAAAAUAUAUUUUAAGUUGUUGAACAAUGUAACAUUGACCCUACUGACAUGUAGACAUAAUAUGAAGUCCAGAAUAGUUCUCCAUGCAUUCUAUAAAUCUAGACUUGCUUCCAUUUUCAUACAAAUUAAGAAAAUAUAAUUGAAAUUAUAAAUUUUAUUAACAUUUUCCCUCUCUUUUUAUACUUCUCGUUCUCAGGUUGGUUGAAUUAAAAUUUAAAUUAUAAUAUUUCCUAAUUAUAAUUGAAUAAAAAAGAAAUUAAAAAAUAGAAUUAUAUUUUUUUUUGUCAAUUUUUAUAAUAAUAAAAUCAAAAUAAAGGACUUUUGACAAUAAGAAAAGUGGGGAAAAAAGCCCUUUCACAUGGGCUCAACUAAAUUUUCAAUGAAUUCAAAAAGAGGAAAAUACACACACGUGAUUUUUAAAUUUCCAAUUCAAAAAUCAGAUUUUAAAGUUUUUUGCUCAAAAAUCAAAAGAUAAUUUAACUUUUGAAUGUUGAUAAUAAUAUUAUAAAAUAAAAUUAAUAUACAUCCCCAUAACCCAACCCCCACCCUACCCGAUUUCACUCCCAACUUGUAAAUCAUUUCUCAUUUGUGAUUCUUUUGAAACGAAGGAAGAUCAAGAGAAUGUGGCACUGCUGUGCGCCCAUCGAACCGAACAACACUAAACCCAACCCAUGAUUGAAACCAACAACCCGAACCAACUCUUUAUUUAUCUCAUAGUGCUUUUAAUCUCAUCAAUUAGCCGAGGGAUAAAAUCUAGUUGAGAAUUGGGAAGCUUAGAAGAUUCAUGUGUAAAUCGGUCAUGAAAGUGAUUAAUCACUAAAAUUGUUGAUUUGGAUCUUCAAAUAAUGUAUCUUUAUUUUCCAAAGAAAUGUUGUGAAUAAUAUACUUAGUUCCGCAUUUUUUUUUUUUAUCAAAUUGUCGAAGUACUUAGUUUUUCGAUCCCCUAAUUGAAUCCAUUUUAUUCCAACUUUUUGUCUCAGGAAUACCUCUUAGCACGCUAGUAAAUAGUUGUAGUCUAAAUUAGAUUUGUAAAGCUUUAUUUUGAUUGCACAUAGUAAAAAGUUAGCUCCUUUUCUUUCAACCUUUGUGAAGAAUUACAAAACACUUGUUUAUUCCACCACUUAAGGCCAAUUUUUAGUCUAGAAAAAUUAUUCUAGAAAACCAAGAGCUUUUGUCUCUGCUAUUGAUUGUUUCUAGUUCCUUACAAAAAUGUACUAAAAUUGGUCACCUCGAAUCCACAUCUUCCAGACCUGGAAAGUAGAUGGGCAGUUGGCGAUUCCAUUUAUCAGUAGUCAACAGUAGGAGGCAAUGGUCUAAAGUGUUCCGAUUCAAGUGUUAAACAAGAAUGAUCGAGCAAAGAUCCAAUGCAAAGGAAUUACUACAUACCACAUAUGCCAGUUUGUACAAGUAUAUUGUGAAUCUUCAUAAUCUGCAUUUUCUAGGUUACAAUACCUUAAAAACUUCUAAAAAAUCAUCAAUGACAACUACAUUUGACAAUUUGACACCGAAUCUUUCUUGGCUGACAAAAGAGCACAUUAAAAUCACCCCUGAAAAAACCAAGGUGGAUCAUAUUACUUGAAAGAACUUUUAGACUAACCCAAAGUUCCACCCUUUCAUGCGUGGUUGAUUUUGCAUGUACUACAAUAGAAUGGAAAGAGUCAGGCUAAUAGAGUUUGUACCUCAAAGAUAACUAAGUCCUUGUUUGAAUCCUAUUUUUUGAGUAUAGAUUUGUAGGCAUGAUUUUUUUGGAGAAUGUCUGAUUAAAAUAUAAGAAAAAUUUUUGAUUGCUUGCAAAAUUAUUUUAUAGAGAGAAUGUGAGUAAACCACAUACAGAAAAUAUUAAUAACUAGUCAUAAAUAACCUUAUCCCAUGCAGAACAAGUUACAUUGCUUUUCCUCUAUCACAUAAGCCACUAUACUUUGAACUUCAAUUUCUUAUAUAACAAAGCAUUAUUUUAUCAAGUAAAUAUAUGAUUUUGAUAUUCUCAUGUCAGAGAACAUCGGUCUAUUUUGAUAUUCCAAAACAAAGAACCAAGGCCCCACUCAAAACAAUGCUACGCAGCACUAUUUUCAAAACAAAGAAUCAAGUCCUAACUACAUUAAUCAUGCAUAUAAAACCUUAAAAUAAUUUGAAUUACACGUCAACUGAACGUUACAAAUUUUGUUAAACUAGAGUAGGUUCCCAGGAAAAGUGUUAGACUUGGUCUAGAUUUAGCAUGUGUAUUCACCAAACAUCCAAUACCAAAUCUUUAAAAUCUUUCAAAGCCCCCUAAGACCUCUGCACAAUCUUUUGCAAUACCCUAAACCAAUGGUUCAUCUUCCCAAAUUGAUUUACCUAAAGUUCUGAUACCACUAAUAUAAAAAUUUCAUGUGAAUUAAAGAUAAACUACAUAACGAUUCUACAUCCCAUUAUAGCACUUAAAAGUAGUAAUCAGUACCAAGAUGCACACAAUUUUAGGGCUCAGAUUUUGUACAUGUGUCAAACAUAGUCAACCCUAGUGUUGGAUCCAACCCAAAUAUUUAGCACAUAAAGUUUUGUAACUUACAAAAACAGAGAAACACGUUUUCAUCUCAAACGCUAGGACAACAGAUUAGCCUUAAAAUCAUUGACCAUGCUUCAAAUCUAAUGAUCUAGAUUGCUCUAAACACACUGAAGUUGUUACUGAGUGGCAAUCCAAGUAAAACGUGUUCUUAAAGUAUCACUUUAAAUGGGACCAAUUUUGGACUGAUCUUGUGAGGGUUGGACUUGGACCACUCGGUUCAUCUCCAAUUUAAGCCUAAGCCUGAAGAUCAAUUGUGGAUCAUUACAGCCCAAGGACCUGUUUGUCAUUACAUCUGAAAUUAUCUAUUUUAUUCAUCCACAAAUUAUAACAACCUAACAAUAUUACACAGCACUUUUAAUGUUCACAAUAUGCAUAAUAAUGUCUAAUAAUAUGACAACAUUAGGUGCUACUAGAUUUCCAUGAUUACGCAAUGCUACUGAAUGACUCACAAAUCACAAGAGUUGCAUGGCAAGCUCCAAUAAACACACAAAGAAGAUGCUUAUAAAAGAACGACUUCCUAAAAGUGGAAAUGCCAGGGUUUACGUUUGGUGGUUCUCUUUUUCUUCUCCAGACUCUUCCACUUCCCCGCUUAUGUGAGACCCUGCAUUGCCUUCAUCGGUUUCCAAGGCUUCUGAAAACGCCAAAAGUAAGUAUACUUCAUUUUUUUAAUGCUAUUUAUGUUUAAAAGAGUUAUCCUCCAAAGUUAAAUUUAAAAUAUACGUUAGGCAUUACUAACAAAAGAACUUGUUUAUUAAUUUUUACUGGGUGAAAUGUAAAUUCAAUAAAAACUAAUGUAAUUGUAAUGGUAACAUGAAUAAUAAAAAAUUUCGACACUAAAUCUGAAUGUAACUAGAGAACAAGGGUAUAUUUAUACCUGGUGUAGCACUUGCACGAAGUUCUUGUAUGUCCAAAUGUACCUCACCACUUAAAGCAGUAAUAAUAUUCUCACUGCUAGGAGUUGAGUCCAAAGUACCAUGAUUAGGGUGUUUGAGUAAAGUACGCCAUUCAUCAAUAUAUAUUGAUUGGUUAAGCGAUAGAUUAGGAAUUUCACGCUUAUGAAGAGCUUUCAUAAUUUCUUGAGUCUCUCUGAGAAGAUGAGUUGCUUCCUUUAUAAUUUUUUCCCGUUCUUCUAUGGCGCUGUUGUUGCAUUUCUUGAGUAUAGCUUGAGGUAAAUUGGUCAGGCAUGCAGCAAAUAUAUCUGCAACAAUAACUGAAAAUCUCUCAAAUACUUGAGUAUCUGAUGCUGAAUGAUAGCUUUCCUCAUGGACCAACAACAAACUGUUGCUUAUUUUGUACAUUGAAUUGGCAAUUAUGAUA
Molecule: long non-coding RNA, 8621 nt
Filed under: Olea europaea (common olive)
Lineage: Eukaryota; Viridiplantae; Streptophyta; Magnoliopsida; Lamiales; Oleaceae
Description: long non-coding RNA (OEUR_LNC005701)
Source: RNAcentral